RNAcentral lists this ribosomal RNA (253 nucleotides) under uncultured bacterium. RNAcentral's name for it is "partial 16S ribosomal RNA". It matches the Rfam family "Bacterial small subunit ribosomal RNA", at positions 524 to 776 of the family's 1533-position model. The record is from RNAcentral.
UACAGAGGGGGCAAGCGUUGUUCGGAAUUACUGGGCGUAAAGGGCGCGUAGGCGGCCUGCUAAGUCGAACGUGAAAUCCCCGGGCUUAACCCGGGAACUGCGUCCGAUACUGGCUGGCUUGAAUCCGGGAGAGGGAUGCGGAAUUCCAGGUGUAGCGGUGAAAUGCGUAGAUAUCUGGAGGAACACCGGUGGCGAAGGCGGCAUCCUGGACCGGUAUUGACGCUGAUGCGCGAAAGCCAGGGGAGCAAACGGG